Molecule: small nucleolar RNA, 132 nt
Filed under: Bombyx mori (domestic silkworm)
Lineage: Eukaryota; Metazoa; Arthropoda; Insecta; Lepidoptera; Bombycidae
Description: Bm_47
Source: RNAcentral
AUAUCCUGCUUUUGGCUUGUAAAUAUAAUGCAACAUAUUGCAUUAUGAGAGCCCUUAGGCAGGUACAUUAACAAUUCGUAUUUACUCUUGUACGUCCUGUGACGCAUGAGAUCGCAACCGAAUUUACAUCUU